Prunus dulcis (almond) is the source of this 314-nucleotide long non-coding RNA. RefSeq lists it as uncharacterized. The record is from RefSeq and is a predicted model, not a curated record. Lineage: Eukaryota; Viridiplantae; Streptophyta; Magnoliopsida; Rosales; Rosaceae. The transcript has 3 exons.
UUACUCAAGCAUACAACUUUGUUAACAUUUCUCCAUUUAGUUUUGACUUAGUUCGUUUUAAAUAAUUUUGGCAGCAAUUCUACUUUUCUGCUUAGCAUUAUGUUGUUAUAUGAAUUUGGAACCUGAUACUGUGUUUGCUGAUCUUAGCUGGAGUAGGGUAUACUAGCACCAUCCGGCGUAAGAAUGGUAAAUUAUCUGAAUUGAUCGGUGAACUUCAGGGUCUAAAAUUCUCAGAUCUUAUGUAUGUGACAAAGCGUAGUAUGAAUGCUGCUGUUUCAAAAUUGCAUAAACGUCUGGAGAGCGUGACAGAGGCU